AAGACAUUGUAUCUGGAAAGUGCCUCACUUACAGCAUACUUGAUAUCACUAGCAUUUCUUACAUCCUUCAACUCGACAUGAUCAUCAAAGGCAGGUUGACAUGGCGUGAUCUUGACUGGCUUUCCAUUCACCUUUGGCGAGUCCAGAAGAACUGCACGUUGUGCUUCUUGUGAAUCUUUGAAAGUGACAAGUGCAACAUUAGUCGGCAUAUCACUUAUCACUUCAU
RNAcentral lists this unclassified non-coding RNA (226 nucleotides) under Hevea brasiliensis (rubber tree). The record is from RNAcentral. Lineage: Eukaryota; Viridiplantae; Streptophyta; Magnoliopsida; Malpighiales; Euphorbiaceae.